Molecule: ribosomal RNA, 301 nt
Filed under: uncultured bacterium
Lineage: Bacteria
Description: partial 16S ribosomal RNA
Rfam family: Bacterial small subunit ribosomal RNA
Source: RNAcentral
CAGCCGCCACGGUAAUACGAAGGGGGCUAGCGUUGCUCGGAAUUACUGGGCGUAAAGGGAGCGUAGGCGGGUCGUUAAGUUGGGGGUGAAAGCCCGGGGCUCAACCUCGGAAUUGCCUUCAAAACUGGCGACCUUGAGUAUGGGAGAGGUGAGUGGAACUCCGAGUGUAGAGGUGAAAUUCGUAGAUAUUCGGAAGAACACCAGUGGCGAAGGCGACUCACUGGCCCAUUACUGACGCUGAGGCUCGAAAGCGUGGGGAGCAAACAGGAUUAGAUACCCGCGUAGUCCCUGUCUCUUAUAC